GCUCGACACUUUCAACGAGAAUCC
RNAcentral lists this microRNA (24 nucleotides) under Ananas comosus (pineapple). RNAcentral's name for it is "microRNA s1579_c092b". Lineage: Eukaryota; Viridiplantae; Streptophyta; Magnoliopsida; Poales; Bromeliaceae. The record is from RNAcentral.